This 492-nucleotide ribosomal RNA is filed under the name uncultured bacterium. RNAcentral's name for it is "partial 16S ribosomal RNA". It matches the Rfam family "Bacterial small subunit ribosomal RNA", at positions 29 to 507 of the family's 1533-position model. The record is from RNAcentral.
AGUGAACGCUGGCGGUAGGCCUAACACAUGCAAGUCGAACGGCAGCACAGUAAGAGCUUGCUCUUACGGGUGGCGAGUGGCGGACGGGUGAGGAAUACAUCGGAAUCUACUUUUUCGUGGGGGAUAACGUAGGGACACUUACGCUAAUACCGCAUACGACCUACGGGUGAAAGCAGGGGAUCUUCGGCCCUUGCGCGAUUGAAUGAGCCGAUGUCGGAUUAGCUAGUUGGCGGGGUAAAGGCCCACCAAGGCGACGAUCCGUAGCUGGUCUGAGAGGAUGAUCAGCCACACUGGAACUGAGACACGGUCCAGACUCCUACGGGAGGCAGCAGUGGGGAAUAUUGGACAAUGGGCGCAAGCCUGAUCCAGCCAUACCGCGUGGGUGAAGAAGGCCUUCGGGUUGUAAAGCCCUUUUGUUGGGAAAGAAAAGCAGCAGGUUAAUACCCCGCUGUUCUGACGGUACCCAAAGAAUAAGCACCGGCUAACUUCGUG